GGGUGUGUCUUUAGCGGAGGGGAAAUACCCGAUCUCAUCCCGAACUCGGAAGUCAAGCCCUCCAGCGUCGAAGGUAGUGCCAGGGAAACUUGGUGUAAGAAUAGAUCGAUGCACCCU
This 117-nucleotide ribosomal RNA is filed under the name Bacteriovoracaceae bacterium. The record is from RNAcentral. Lineage: Bacteria; Pseudomonadati; Bdellovibrionota; Bacteriovoracia; Bacteriovoracales; Bacteriovoracaceae.